ACCCAGGCCUUAGGCGCUGACCUACUAUAGCAUGAGGUCAUAAAGCUCCUGCUGGGUGAUGGGGCCUUGGGCAGGGAGAGGGCAGUCACUUUCCUAGCCUCACUAUACCCAUAGCCUGAGUUCAUACUCUUGAGUGACCUAUCCAUUCUGAUUUAGGGGGGGAAAAUGCAGGUAUCUGUUAGGGUAUGUUUGUAUAUAUAUGUGUGUGUGUGUGUAGUUCUUGGUCUGAGUUCUUGUAAGGAAACAGGAUCAGGCCUCUCCUCCCUUCAGCAGCCUCCUGGAAGCAAUUUGCUCUGCUGUUUGUCACCUGUAGAUAAGUCCUUUGUGAGGUUGGAUCAGAGUCCUGAAGGACAUGGGAGAAGUAUAGAUCAGGACUUAAACCAAGAAAAAGUGGUGGUUCUCCACCUUGGAUGUACUUUGGGUUUACCUGGGAUCUUCAAAAAUUACUGAUGCCUGGAUCCUACUUCCAGAGAUUCUGAUUCAGUUGGUCUGUAGUAUGCCUGGGCAUCAGAAUUUCUAAAAGCUCCUGAGGCAAUUCUAAUGUGCAUCCUAGGUUGAAACCCAUUAUUAAUGAGUGGGUUACAAUUGCAAUGAAAACCACAUGUGUGUGUAGGAGGGUAUCAUGCUGAGCAGUGACAAUGUGGAGAGUAGUCUAAUUGGGAUAAUGUUACCUUAGUAACUGGAAAGAACUUUCAGGAAGCUAGAAUUACCCAGGUAAAUUUGAGGAAAUUUUUCUUCAUCCUCUACCCCCUAUCCUAGGCAAAUCUGUGUCUAGUGGGUCCUCUCCUUUUACAACCCUGAUCUAUGUGUGAUUUCUUCUUGUGUCUCUGUAAGGGAUCGCAACCUGAUGUUUUGCUGGAGAAGAAGAGUGGUUUUUCCCUGGAGAAGAACCACUCUAGAGAGCCUUUCUACUCUCCCACUGUGACCCUUAUCUGUCCAAAUAGUCCUCUCUCAAGUCCCUCUGGAGAGUCUCCUGUGUGCCUAAUGACCUCUUUGUGUAUGGGGCGCACCUUCCCCCAUCCCAUCCCAGGAUGUAGAGGUAUCCCACAAAGUUGGCCAUCGCCUGAGCUGGCUGAGGUGGCAUGAAUAUGGGGCACGGGGAGUGGUCCUGCAGUGGUGGGAGAGAGUGUUGCCAAGAAAAGUUCCCAAAGGAGAUAUCACUGGGCUCAGGGGAGGGCAGGUCUCCUUAGACAGAGCUAAGGGUGUGGGUGCCAGGUCUUUGAGCAAAGUUUUGACAGUGGGCAUGGACCUCUGCUCUAGGAGAGGAAAUAAUAUCAAAUAUUUAUUGAACUCUUAUGUGUUAGGGGCUGUGCCAAACACUUGAAUGCAUUAUCUUAGUUAAUCCUUUUAGUAACAUCUAAAGUAGGUAUAGUCGGCCCUCUGUAUCCACAGUUAAAUGGAGGGCCAACUGUAAUCAUUGUACUACACCAUUCUAUAUAGGGGACUUAAGCAUUCUUGUAUUUUCCUAUCUGCUGGGGUUCCUGGAUCCAAUACCCCACGGAUACUAAGACAUGAUUGUACUAUUAUUUCCCCGUUUUACAAGUGAAUUAACAAGCUCAGAGAGGUUAAAUGAAUUAAUGUGAGUUAUACAGUUAGUUAAUGGAGGAUCUGGGAUUCAAAUCCACGUCUGCCUGAAUCCAUCUUUAAACAUUAAACAGCAGUUCCUUCUGAUGAAGGGAGAAACCAAUAUGUUCUUUCUGCUCGCCUGAGUGUGUGGUGCAGGGGGUGCAUGCUAGAUGGAAGUGCAAAGUGUUGUAAUGAGAAAGAAGUGGGCAGGAUGAGAGGAGAGCUGCAAUCGACCAAAUCAGAAACCCCAAGUUGCUUGUUAAGACAAGUGAAACCAAGUCUCUUCCUCCUAAUGCCCAUUUAGCACAUUUUUUUAUUAUGGUUAACAAGGAGAGGUCACCUGGUAUAGUAUAGUUAGCACCUCUUCUCCCUCCAGAAAGGAAUUCUGGGUGAGGUAGGCAAAGGUAGAGAGAGAGAGACAUACACAAGGACAAGAGAUACAGACAUAGGGCAAAGCUGAUGGUGCAAGGAGACAGAGAUGCAGAGGUACAGAGACAAUGAGAGUUAUUGAUAAACAGAGGCAGAGAAUGAUGCAUGUUCAUAUCCUAAGGGGGUUCCAGAAUGAAAAAGGGGUGGCUGAGGUAGGUGUGGAGAUGGGACUUUGGUGAAACUUGAUGAGGAUCUCUUUUGGAUUUUUCAUAGAGGGGGCUCACAGGGGAAGUUGAAUACCGAUGAACUCCUCUGCCAGAAGCCCAUACCUUCUCUUUUCUCUCUUUUGCUGUCUGAUUACCACGAUUCUCUGGGCUCCCUAAAUUUCACACUACCCUACCCUGACAUUAAGUAAGUCUGUCUCUCCUUUUGGCUCAUAGAGUCAGACUAAAAGUUGCUGAAGGAAAACAGAUGACGACUGAGUUCUGGGUGGAGUUGAUGAGCCCAAGGGCUGGGCUGUUUGGGCCAUGUCCUGCUUGUUAGUUUGCCUCCAGUGUGGCAUGUUCUGGGAUCUCCAUGGGGAGGGAGGUGCAGAUUUCCUGCAGCAUAUCUGAGGGGUGAAGAGAGUGGAGAGCAUGAGGGGAAUAAACAGGUGGGGGCUGAUUAUCCAGAGAACAUGAGGUUCUCUGCAAGAACCUCUAGGGCAAUAUAGAAUAGUGUUGAUAACAAAGAGUUUAAAGUAAUGAAGAGCCCCAACAAGUCUCUUCACUUAUUUCAGGCUGCAGGGACAAUCGUACAAGUCCCUAAUCCCUUAUUUGACACCUUUAGGGACAGAUGUAUUUUGGAAUUCAGAACUUUUCAGAUUUUAGAAAGGGAAAAUAGUGCCUUUAUCAUAUAUAAAGGAAUACCCUAGUGAGAUUCAGGGCAGUGCCUAUAAUCAAACAUCAAUAUUUCUGCAGCUAACUCUAUGAAUAUUCACACUAAGUGAAAUAAAUAAAUACAAGAAAUACAAUUGUGAUGGUUCAGGUCAGGUUUUGGGCCAUAGUUAUGAAAAAACUAUUGUUUCAUCUGAGAUUUUUUAUUUUGGAAUUGUAGAUAAGGGAUUAUGGGUUUAUAAUUGUUCUCAGGUGGUUGUGAGGAGUAAGAGUGCCAGUAAAGCCUUCUAAACACACCACAUGGUAGGUAUGAAUGCAAUCUCAUUCCAAAGCAAAAUACAAAUGUCCAAGCGGGUGGAUCUUUGGCUUGAAGGAAGAAAGUUCUUACAAUGAACAAUGUAUAGGUAUGAAUCAGCUGCCUUGGGGAGUUGUGCACAGCCAGGUAGUGAAGGUGCCUUAGAAGAGAGGCUUCCUGUGGUGGGAGGGUGACAGAAUUCAUUGCUUAUGAACAUUGGCUGCACAUGAUUUCUUAUUUCAUGUACCACAGUGGAAAGGCAAAAACUGGUGGCGCGUGUAUGUGGGACACAGGACUGUCACACAUAUAAAUUCUUUAUAAUAUAUUUCUUUAUAAUAAUGUUAUAAUAAAUAUCUUACUGCAUA
Non-coding RNA from Equus caballus (horse), 3470 nucleotides. Lineage: Eukaryota; Metazoa; Chordata; Mammalia; Perissodactyla; Equidae. The record is from RefSeq and is a predicted model, not a curated record.